GAACUAAGACAUUCAAGAAAAAGCUUCUAACUUCAUUCUUAAGCAGUGAAACUCUGUUUUUAGUUCU
Molecule: transfer RNA, 67 nt
Filed under: Scolytinae sp. BMNH 1039965
Lineage: Eukaryota; Metazoa; Arthropoda; Insecta; Coleoptera; Curculionidae
Description: tRNA-Ser
Source: RNAcentral